Molecule: ribosomal RNA, 117 nt
Filed under: Sinocyclocheilus grahami
Lineage: Eukaryota; Metazoa; Chordata; Actinopteri; Cypriniformes; Cyprinidae
Source: RNAcentral
GCCGGCAGCCAUAUCACCCUGUAGCCCAAGACUGGUCACCCACUGAAGCUAAGCAGGGUUGAGCCUGGUCAGUACCUGAAUGGGAGACCUCCUGGGAAAACUAGGUUGCUGCUAGAA